GAGAGAGAGAGAGAGAGAGAGAGAGAGCGAGCGCUCCGUAUACAUCUCGGAGAACACCUCGGAGGCAGCUUGGAGGACUGAUCACCCGACAAGAACUCCCUGUCACCGACCCAGAUUUAGACGUAAACCAAUGACUGCUGGCCCGUACACCUCUGCAGACCGACCUAACGAAUCCUGUACCUGUUACAACUGUAAUCUAAGUCAGGUUUCGUCCUGCACUGUAACCAUCAGCAGUGGGAAAACAGAAAACCUGGAUACCUGAUAAUGGAUUAUACAGGGACAUGGACACAGGCACAUCACCCCCAGUUGGUUCCAAGUGGGGUAAGAAGACCUCCUGGUGGGCAGGCUGCUCCACAGACAACUUCAGCCCUUCUGAGACACCAAGGAUGAGGCAUGGACCACAGACUGGAAGGACUCUGGGCCUUUGGAACAGACCCACCUAGAAAGAAGCAGUGGUGGAGCAGGCUGGCUACACCAGACCAGUGAUUCUCAGUCAGGAGGCGGAGGAGGAUAAUAGGCAGUUCUUUGUUUCACUUUCUUGACUACAGAAAAGUCGUAGAACUAUUCAUGUGUGGCAGAGAAUGGAUAUACCCCAACAGUGCAGGAGGGGAUUUUGGACAAAAAUUCUUAUUGGAAGUCACUUGGUUCACAUGAUGAAUCCAGAGUAGGCGUUUGCUCAUCUCACUGUACUAGCACUAUAGGAUCCUCUUAAGAGUGCCCUAUGGCACCCCACAGAGCUACAGCACCCUGGUUGGGAACACCCUCCUCCCCCCCAAGAAAUCCCAACACUGUACUAGAAGGUCCCAUUCCCAGUCUAUGGCACUGGGGUGGCAGCAGCAGGGAGAAUGAGGAAAGAGACUCUCAGUUGCACCUUGCUGCCCUGUCCCCUAGUCCCUACCAGAAGAGCUAGUGGGCACUUCUCACCAUGGCCAGAACAUCCCCCACCCCCCAAACUCCCUUCCCCAGCAGAAUCUGCCUUCCUACAAGCUUAAAAGUUAAUACUAAGUCACAGCAAC
Long non-coding RNA from Alligator mississippiensis (American alligator), 1016 nucleotides. RefSeq lists it as uncharacterized. Lineage: Eukaryota; Metazoa; Chordata; Crocodylia; Alligatoridae. The record is from RefSeq and is a predicted model, not a curated record. The transcript is spliced from 2 exons.